Pimephales promelas (fathead minnow) is the source of this 838-nucleotide non-coding RNA. The record is from RefSeq and is a predicted model, not a curated record. Lineage: Eukaryota; Metazoa; Chordata; Actinopteri; Cypriniformes; Leuciscidae.
GUUUUAUUCUGUAACGAAACUGCUGCUAUUCAUCUGCUGUUAUCGCUUCAGUGAACCUCGCGCUGCUCGCGCGUCGCGCGCAACACAGAUCAGCGGAUCGUCGUCGGAUUUGAAAGUAACGGCUCCUCUCAUCAAAGCUUCAGCUGUUUGUUCGGCUCUCCGUUACAAGAAGAACCACUGCAUUUCUAAAAUCAUCUGAACAUUUCAGAGGCUACAUUGAAUUACAGGAGGAAGUUACCGGCACCACACUACAAUGUAACUGAAUGAUGACUGUGGUUGCAUUACGCCUGAGAUCUGCUUUUGGGUUCCACCGACAGAAAGUCUAACAGGCACCUCGGUAAGCUGAAAUACAAGUUUGAACAAGAAAAAUAAUCCUCCUGUAGACCUGAAAAUCAUAGAAGUGCCUGGACCAUCCACCAGUAAAGAGGAAAAACAAACGGAAAAUUGUACUGUUCUAACUCGUUAACCUCACAUGUCCCUUGUUAAGAUUUUAUUAAUGAUUGCAUUUUAUGUUUCAGCAAGUAAAGGUGCGGUCAAAUUUGUGAAAUUACACAGGCAAAAAAAGUCCAUUGACACAACUUAACUUAAUUGUUUUUUUGUUUUUUAUUAAUGUGAUGUGUUUCCAUGCAUUUUGUUGAGAUGUAUACCCUUUUCUUGUAUACCCUAUUGUAUAUACUGUACAUUGUUGAUUAUUCAUGUUGCUUACAGUAUGUAUUAUACUAUUUGUUUGUGUAUUCUAUUCAGUGAUAUUAAUCUAUUACUAGCUUCUUUUCCCGAGUGCAUGGAAGUGUAUGUAUUAAAAUGGAUCUAAAAUUUAAUAAACAAUUCUUACCUUGUA